RNAcentral lists this ribosomal RNA (739 nucleotides) under Saccharomyces cerevisiae (brewer's yeast). RNAcentral's name for it is "eukaryotic LSU rRNA". The stretch from base 204 to 357 matches the Rfam family "5.8S ribosomal RNA". The record is from RNAcentral. Lineage: Eukaryota; Fungi; Ascomycota; Saccharomycetes; Saccharomycetales; Saccharomycetaceae.
GAAGGAUCAUUAUCGUACAACCGAGGCACGAGGGCUGUCGCUGACUCUUUGUCGUGCACGCCCAAAGUGCUCUCAACCAUCCAUCUCACCCCAUGUGCACCACCGCGUGGGUUCUCUUUUGGCUUGUCCCGAAGGGGGCUCGCGUUUUCACACAAACUCAAUACAGUGUAGAAUGUCUCUUUGCGAUAACACGCAAUUAAUACAACUUUCAACAACGGAUCUCUUGGCUCUCGCAUCGAUGAAGAACGCAGCGAAAUGCGAUACGUAAUGUGAAUUGCAGAAUUCAGUGAAUCAUCGAAUCUUUGAACGCACCUUGCGCCCCUUGGCAUUCCGAGGGGCACACCCGUUUGAGUGUCGUGAAAUUCUCAAAAACCUUUCUUUUAUGAAAGGGUUUUGGACUUGGAGGCUUUUUGCUGGCUUCACCUCGAAGCUAGCUCCUCCUAAAUGAAUUAGUGGGGUCUGCUUUGCCGAUCCUCGACGUGAUAAGAUGUUACUACGUCUCGGGUUUGGCGAUGGCACCCGCUUCUAAUCGUCUCAUUGACAAUGAUGGCGUUCCGGUCACCACCGUUUCAUCGGUCGGGAGGCUUGACCCACCAAAAAAACCUUGACCUCAAAUCGGGUGAGACUACCCGCUGAACUUAAGCAUAUCAAUAAGCGGAGGAAAAGAAACUAACAAGGAUUCCCCUAGUAACUGCGAGUGAAGCGGGAAAAGCUCAAAUUUAAAAUCUGGUGGCCUUUG